CAGAAAGUCUUUGUCUUUUUCAGGGAUCUUCUCACUUUGUUGGAUAUCUGAAAUGUGUAUGUUUUUUUUGGAAGCAGAGUCUCACUCUGUUGCCCAGGCUGGAGUACAGUAGCACAAUCAUAGCUCACUGCAGCCUCGACCUUCUGGGCUCAAGUGAUCCUCCUGCCUCAGCCUCCUGUGUAGCUGGGACUACAGGCAUGUGCCAUCAUGCCCAGCUAAUUUUUUAAUUUUUGAUGGAGACAGAGUCUCACUAUGUUACUCUGGCUGGUUGCGAACUCCUGGCCUCAAGUGAACUGCCUUGGCCUCUCAAAAUGCUGGGAUUACAGGCAUGAACCACUGGCCCAGCCUGAGGUUGGUCUCAAACUCCUGGCCUCAAGUGAUCCUCCUGCCUCAGCCUCCAAAGCGUUAUGAUUACAGACAUGAGCCACUGUGCCCAGCUGAGGUUAUUUUCUAUGUAAAUCUCGAUGUUCUGGAAUCGGUCUCGCUCUGUCACCCAGGCUACGUUUCAGUGGUCUGAUCACAGCUCACUGCAGCCUCAACCUCCUGGGCCCAAGCAAUCCUUCC
Molecule: long non-coding RNA, 564 nt
Organism: Gorilla gorilla gorilla (western lowland gorilla)
Lineage: Eukaryota; Metazoa; Chordata; Mammalia; Primates; Hominidae
Exons: 3
Source: RefSeq, a predicted model, not a curated record